This 480-nucleotide ribosomal RNA is filed under the name uncultured bacterium. RNAcentral's name for it is "partial 16S ribosomal RNA". It matches the Rfam family "Bacterial small subunit ribosomal RNA", at positions 28 to 523 of the family's 1533-position model. The record is from RNAcentral.
GACGAACGCUGGCGGCGUGCCUAACACAUGCAAGUCGAGCGAGUGAAUCUCCUUCGGGAGUGAAGCUAGCGGCGGACGGGUGAGUAACACGUGGGCAACCUGCCUCAUAGAGGGGAAUAGCCUUCCGAAAGGGAGAUUAAUACCGCAUAAGAUUGUAGUACCGCAUGGUACAGUAAUUAAAGGAGCAAUCCGCUAUGAGAUGGGCCCGCGGCGCAUUAGCUAGUUGGUGAGGUAACGGCUCACCAAGGCGACGAUGCGUAGCCGACCUGAGAGGGUGAUCGGCCACAUUGGGACUGAGACACGGCCCAGACUCCUACGGGAGGCAGCAGUGGGGAAUAUUGCACAAUGGGGGAAACCCUGAUGCAGCAACGCCGCGUGAGUGAUGACGGCCUUCGGGUUGUAAAGCUCUGUCUUCAGGGACGAUAAUGACGGUACCUGAGGAGGAAGCCACGGCUAACUACGUGCCAGCCGCCGCCGUAA